GACGAACGCUGGCGGCGUGCCUAAUACAUGCAAGUAGAACGCACAGUUUAUACCGUAGCUUGCUACACCAUAAACUGUGAGUUGCGAACGGGUGAGUAACGCGUGGGUAACCUGCCUGGUAGCGGGGGAUAACUAUUGGAAACGAUAGCUAAUACCGCAUCAUAUUGAUUAUUGCAUGAUAAUUGAUUGAAAGAUGCUAUUGCAUCACUACCAGAUGGACCUGCGUUGUAUUAGCUAGUAGGUGAGGUAACGGCUCACCUAGGCGACGAUACAUAGCCGACCUGAGAGGGUGAUCGGCCACACUGGGACUGAGACACGGCCCAGACUCCUACGGGAGGCAGCAGUAGGGAAUCUUCGGCAAUGGACGAAAGUCUGACCGAGCAACGCCGCGUGAGUGAAGAAGGUUUUCGGAUCGUAAAGCUCUGUUGUAAGAGAAGAACGGGUGUGAGAGUGGAAAGUUCACACUGUGACGGUAUCUUACCAGAAAGGGACGGCUAACUACGUG
This 505-nucleotide ribosomal RNA is filed under the name uncultured bacterium. RNAcentral describes it as "partial 16S ribosomal RNA". It matches the Rfam family "Bacterial small subunit ribosomal RNA", at positions 28 to 507 of the family's 1533-position model. The record is from RNAcentral.